CACGGGGGGAGCAAGCGUUGUUCGGAAUCAUUGGGCGUAAAGAGCUCGUAGGCGGCUCCGUAAGUCAGGGGUGAAAUCUGAUGGCUCAACCAUCAACCCGCCUUUGAAACUACGGAACUUGAGUGCAGGAGAGGAAAGUGGAAUUCCAGGUGUAGCGGUGAAAUGCGUAGAUAUCUGGAGGAACACCGGUGGCGAAGGCGACUUUCUGGCCUGACACUGACGCUGAGGAGCGAAAGCCAGGGGAGCGAACGGGAUUAGAUACCCCAGUA
RNAcentral lists this ribosomal RNA (269 nucleotides) under uncultured prokaryote. Its description in RNAcentral is "partial 16S ribosomal RNA". It matches the Rfam family "Bacterial small subunit ribosomal RNA", at positions 524 to 792 of the family's 1533-position model. The record is from RNAcentral.